RNAcentral lists this ribosomal RNA (434 nucleotides) under uncultured Clostridium sp. Its description in RNAcentral is "partial 16S ribosomal RNA". It matches the Rfam family "Bacterial small subunit ribosomal RNA", at positions 341 to 792 of the family's 1533-position model. The record is from RNAcentral. Lineage: Bacteria; Bacillati; Bacillota; Clostridia; Eubacteriales; Clostridiaceae.
ACGGAAGGCAGCAGUGGGGAAUAUUGGACAAUGGGGGAAACCCUGAUCCAGCGACGCCGCGUGAGUGAAGAAGUAUUUCGGUAUGUAAAGCUCUAUCAGCAGGGAAGAUAAUGACGGUACCUGACUAAGAAGCCCCGGCUAACUACGUGCCAGCAGCCGCGGUAAUACGUAGGUGGCAAGCGUUAUCCGGAUUUACUGGGUGUAAAGGGCGCGUAGGCGGGAGAGCAAGUCAGAUGUGAAAUCCAUGGGCUUAACCCAUGAACUGCAUUUGAAACUGUUCUUCUUGAGUGCUGGAGAGGUAGACGGAAUUCCUUGUGUAGCGGUGAAAUGCGUAGAUAUAAGGAAGAACACCAGUGGCGAAGGCGGUCUACUGGACAGUAACUGACGCUGAGGCGCGAAAGCGUGGGGGGCAAACAGGAUUAGAUACCCUGGUA